Molecule: non-coding RNA, 199 nt
Organism: Bombyx mori (domestic silkworm)
Lineage: Eukaryota; Metazoa; Arthropoda; Insecta; Lepidoptera; Bombycidae
Source: Rfam
AUCGCUUCUCGGCCUUUUGGCUAAGAUCAAAGUGUAGUAUCUGUUCUUUUCAGCUUAAUAUCUGAAAGUUCCCUCAUUGAGGGACCAGUAUAUUAAACUGAUUUUUGUAAAACGAUGGGAUGUUCGGGGCUAGACUUGCGCAAAACAUCACUUCUCAAUGUAAUGUGAUAUAACAUCACUUUUACAGACAGUAGACUUG